CUAAGGAUUAUCCCAGGCAAAUGGAGGGGUCAUCCCUGCCUGCUUCCUGGAUCCCCUGUGUGUCAUUUGGAUGCACGGGGAUGAUCCCGGGACAAUCCCGGGAUAUAGGCCUGGUCUAGCCAUGGCCAAAGAGAGAGGAAUGGCAGAAGCAUGAGUUCCUCACUUCAUUGCCUCUUCCCUCAACCUAGGCUUCUGUAUUUCUUUUGGCCAGGUAGUUGAGAGUGGGUGACUUCUCUGCUCAUCAACCUGUUUGUGUUGACAGUGCUGAAGUCCAGUUCAAUAUUCAACACAGGCUUCCCUAUGGCUCCUCAAGCUUUGUAGGUCAGUGCUCUGCUUCCUCUUGACUCUAAAUCUCUAGACCAUGAAACGAGAGUGGGCAGAGUUAAUUGAACUGCCUUUUGCCUUUUGGGAGAGGCUCCUACAGAGUUUGUGAGCCACUGCUUUUUUAUAUGUACCGAACUUGCAUAUUGCAAUGUUCGAUUUGUCUUGUGUUUAGAGAUAAUACCAAGGGAUAUGAUCUUAAAAGAUGGAAGGCCCUAUGCUUGGAAUUGCAUUCCAAUACAUGAUGGGAAAAUGCGUUCUCAUCUUAAUUUUCAUCUUUACUAAUACUAAAUAUUUGGAGUAUCUGCCUAUUUUUCAUGCAGUACUGCAUUUAAGAUAGACAUUGUCAAUGCUAAUACUGUACUUGCAGCAAGACAACACUUAGAUAAAAAAAACAUUAGAAAUAUCACUUGUCACACUGAUGCAAAAUGUUUCAAGUGAGACAUAUUUGGAGUACAAUUAACACAUGCUUCCUUUCUCUUUCUUUUUUUUUUCUUCUUACUCUAUUCAUGGUAUAUUGGAUAGAAUUGUAUUUACUGAAAUCCAGUGUUGGCCUGAUCUUGACAGGCGGGACCUGCAUGAUAUGGCUUUGAUAUCUAGUGCAGUUAUAAUGUAUGUCAAGCAUUUUUAAUUGCAUAAGGAGAACAGGAUCUAAAAGGUUAUGUUGAUGAAAGAGAGUGUGGUAAAGCAGAAGCUAAAUUAUUCAGAAGAGAAUCUUUUUUCUUCUUCUUUUAAGCAGAUGACAUGGGAUGGGAGAUUUUCAAAGUAUCUUUCUCCUUCACAGCACGGCCUGCUGCCAGAAAGACUUUCAACUAGCAUUGCUGCUAGUAUGGCUUGAGGACUUUGAGCAGUGUGGCGGAAGCCUGAGUAAAUGCUAUAUAGAGGGAUUAAGAAUGUGUGCACAUGGGAGGGGGAUAUUAAUGGCCUUCGGUACAGUUUUUAGUGUUGUCUCUGUAGUUCUGAUAUCAUAAAGGGCAUUUUUAAAGUGGAUACUGCUCAGGUGGCCUCCAAAGAUGUUACUUUAUAUGCAUAAAUUAAGCACAUACUUCUGGAGUUGAGAGAAUUCGGGAAGAUUUAAUAUUUUUGGGAUACUUGUGUAAUCCAUUAAUCACUUGCCCAACAGGCUUUUGUUCGUUUGUUUUUUCCUAUAGAAAGUGUAUCCCCAUAAUUGCACAAGAGUUCAAAUGUUUUGCUUUCAAUAGCCUAUUGUAUGGUUUUAAUUUAAGGCAUGACUGCAGUUGCAAUAAGGCUAAAAAAUCACAGCUGCAUGUUUCGCAUUCUCCUGCUUCCAUUGUGGGCAGGAGGUGGUGUUUCAUGUCAUUGAAUCACUACUGCUCACUGUUGUAACAAGGCAGCCUCAUGCACCUGUUAAAUUGACUGCCCAAGUAGCCUUGGCAAUUAGCAAAUGAGCAUGAGGACUAUAUCUCAACACUACGCUUAGACAAUAUCAGCUAGCCGCUUGUACUCUGAAAACAUCUCAAUCGUUCAGUUUUCCAUUUCAACAAAUUGAAAUUCUUGGUAUGUGAAUUUUCGUUUUGGCUCUUUCUUCCUUUCUUUCUGAAAUGUACAGUGAAUAGGAUGUUGCACUGGUGGCAAUUCAUCACGGAGCAUAAUAAAAUUAAUUUGACUCGG
This is a long non-coding RNA of Elgaria multicarinata webbii, 1953 nucleotides long. RefSeq lists it as uncharacterized. Lineage: Eukaryota; Metazoa; Chordata; Lepidosauria; Squamata; Anguidae. The transcript has 2 exons. The record is from RefSeq and is a predicted model, not a curated record.